Molecule: long non-coding RNA, 253 nt
Filed under: Vitis vinifera (wine grape)
Lineage: Eukaryota; Viridiplantae; Streptophyta; Magnoliopsida; Vitales; Vitaceae
Description: long non-coding RNA (VVIN_LNC005445)
Source: RNAcentral
CCAAUGGUGAUCCUUCUUUCUUGGGAUCCUCUCCAAUUUCUUCUUGUUGUCUUCUAUCUUCAAUUUGCAAUCUUCCCAUGGAGGUCUCCAAACCCAACAAAUCAUCAAAACUCUCUCUUUCUUGGAGAUAAUUGUUCGAUUCAUCAAAAAUAACAUGGAUGGACUCCUUUACAACCAUGGUUCUUUUGUUAAAAACUCUAAAAGCUUUACUUGAAGUUGAGUAACCAAGGAAAAUUCCAACAUCCAAUUUUGC